GGGGGUUUAGCUCAGCGGCAUAAGCGCCUGCCUUGCAAGCAGGCAGUCGUGAGUUUGAUCCCCGCUACCGAUA
This 73-nucleotide transfer RNA is filed under the name Cavia porcellus (domestic guinea pig). It matches the Rfam family "tRNA". Rfam says of the family: Transfer RNA (tRNA) molecules are approximately 80 nucleotides in length. Their secondary structure includes four short double-helical elements and three loops (D, anti-codon, and T loops). The record is from Rfam by way of RNAcentral. Lineage: Eukaryota; Metazoa; Chordata; Mammalia; Rodentia; Caviidae.